This 21-nucleotide transfer RNA is filed under the name Phallichthys quadripunctatus. RNAcentral describes it as "partial tRNA-Glu". Lineage: Eukaryota; Metazoa; Chordata; Actinopteri; Cyprinodontiformes; Poeciliidae. The record is from RNAcentral.
UAAAGUUCUUAUAGUUGAAUA